UAAGAGUGACGGAUGUCAUCAUGUUAUACAUCUCUAUUUCCUUCCUCUCACAGUGUUAUGAUUUAUCAAUCCCGUAGCUCAACACUAUAUUGUACCUACGGGUUUUGACAUUUUUAUAGUCCCGUAGCUCAGCUGGUUAGAGCGUCCCGACACCUAAAGUGUCGGGAAGGUCGGCAGUUCAAGUCGCCAGCUUCCUACGGAAUUUUAACAUUCAGUCCCGUAGCUCAGCUGGUUAGAGCGCUACACUGAUAAUGUAGAGGUCGGCAGUUCAAGUCUGCCCGGGACUACCGAAAUUGAGUUUUUUGUGUAAAAACACACACAAACCCAAUUUUCGGGGGAUUAGCUCAGCUGGCUAGAGCACUAGCUUUGCAAGCUAGGGGUCAAGGGUUCGAAUCCCUUAUCCUCCACAAUACUGCACCCGGUUUGUUUUCAAAUGAGAAAACAGUCAGGCCGGGGAAAGUACAAAAGCUCAUUGACAAGUAGGGCGAGGAAAAAAGUCAAAGGCAAAAGAAAAGAGCGUUUAGGAAAAAACCUUUGUAAGAAGGCGAGAAAGAACUGAGUCCAGGGAUGGAUUCAAAGAAAAGGAAGCUUACAAGGGCGUACG
RNAcentral lists this transfer RNA (604 nucleotides) under uncultured bacterium. RNAcentral describes it as "16S-23S ribosomal RNA intergenic spacer". The stretch from base 214 to 287 matches the Rfam family "tRNA". The record is from RNAcentral.